CCGCAUGGGAUGAUUAUUAAAGAAUUUCGGUCGUCGAUGGGGAUGCGUUCCAUUAGGCAGUUGGCGGGGUAACGGCCCACCAAACCUACGAUGGAUAGGGGUUCUGAGAGGAAGGUCCCCCACAUUGGAACUGAGACACGGUCCAAACUCCUACGGGAGGCAGCAGUGAGGAAUAUUGGUCAAUGGACGAGAGUCUGAACCAGCCAAGUAGCGUGAAGGAUGACUGCCCUAUGGGUUGUAAACUUCUUUUAUACGGGAAUAAAGUGAGCCACGUGUGGUUUUUUGUAUGUACCGUAUGAAUAAGGAUCGGCUAACUCCGUGCCAGCAGCCGCGGUAAUACGGAGGAUCCGAGCGUUAUCCGGAUUUAUUGGGUUUAAAGGGAGCGUAGGCGGGUUGUUAAGUCAGUUGUGAAAGUUUGCGGCUCAACCGUAAAAUUGCAGUUGAUACUGGCGACCUUGAGUGCAACAGAGGUAGGCGGAAUUCGUGGUGUAGCGGUGAAAUGCUUAGAUAUCACGAAGAACUCCGAUUGCGAAGGCAGCUUACUGGAUUGUAACUGACGCUGAUGCUCGAAAGUGUGGGUAUCAAACAGGAUUAGAUACCCUGGUAGUCCACACAGUAAACGAUGAAGACUCGCUGUUGGCGAUAUACGGUCAGCG
This 656-nucleotide ribosomal RNA is filed under the name uncultured bacterium. RNAcentral describes it as "bacterial SSU rRNA". It matches the Rfam family "Bacterial small subunit ribosomal RNA", at positions 186 to 845 of the family's 1533-position model. The record is from RNAcentral.